AGCGAACGUUAGCGGCGGGCCUAACACAUGCAAGUCGAACGCGAAAGGUCUUCGGACUGAUUAGAGUGGCGCACGGGUGAGUAACACGUAGGUAAUCUACCCUUUGGCGGGGGAUAACGUUCCGAAAGGAGCGCUAAUACCGCAUAAGACCACGGAGUCUCCGGACGCUGUGGGAAAAGGUGGCCUCUUCUUGAAAGCUAUCACCGGAGGAUGAGCCUGCGUCCCAUCAGCUAGUUGGUAAGGUAAUGGCUUACCAAGGCAAAGACGGGUAGCUGGUUUGAGAGAAUGAUCAGCCACACUGGCACUGGAACACGGGCCAGACUCCUACGGGAGGCAGCAGUGAGGAAUAUUGGGCAAUGGGCGAAAGCCUGACCCAGCCACGCCGCGUGAGUGAUGAAGGCCCUCGGGUCGUAAAGCUCUGUGGAGAGGGACGAAAAACCUGGGGUCUAAUAGGCCCCGGACUUGACGGUACCUCUUUAGCAAGCACCGGCUAACUCUGUGCCAGCAGCCGCGGUAAAG
RNAcentral lists this ribosomal RNA (519 nucleotides) under uncultured bacterium. RNAcentral's name for it is "bacterial SSU rRNA". It matches the Rfam family "Bacterial small subunit ribosomal RNA", at positions 29 to 525 of the family's 1533-position model. The record is from RNAcentral.